UUUUUUCUUCUUUUUAAUCCCUAUUUUUGCAUAGACCAAUUCUUUUGAAUUUGUGGUCCAUCGGAGUGCCCUAACUUUUGCCUAAGUCAACUCCUUUUUAGUUUUUGACUCAGCGGGCUCUUUUUGAAACAUGAUGCCUUAACUUUUUCCUAAGUCAAAUUUUCAGGUUUUUUCUUUUUGACUUACCGAGCCUUUUUUUUAAAACAAC
Molecule: long non-coding RNA, 208 nt
Filed under: Lathyrus oleraceus (garden pea)
Lineage: Eukaryota; Viridiplantae; Streptophyta; Magnoliopsida; Fabales; Fabaceae
Description: Pisum sativum (pea) long non-coding RNA (PSAT_LNC021543)
Source: RNAcentral